GCAGUCGAGCGGACUGAUGGGAGCUUGCUCCUGUUUUUCGGCGGACGGGUGAGUAACACGUGGGUAACCUGCCUGUAUAACUGGGAUAACUCCGGGAAACCGGGGCUAAUACCGGAUGGUUGUCUGAACCGCAUGGUUCAGACAUAAAAGGUGGCUUCGGCUACCACUUACAGAUGGACCCGCGGCGCAUUAGCUAGUUGGUGAGGUAACGGCUCACCAAGGCGACGAUGCGUAGCCGACCUGAGAGGGUGAUCGGCCACACUGGGACUGAGACACGGCCCAGACUCCUACGGGAGGCAGCAGUAGGGAAUCUUCCGCAAUGGACGAAAGUCUGACGGAGCAACGCCGCGUGAGUGAUGAAGGUUUUCGGAUCGUAAAGCUCUGUUGUUAGGGAAGAACAAGUGCCGUUCAAAUAGGGCGGCACCUUGACGGUACCUAACCAGAAAGCCACGGCUAACUACGUGCCAGCAGCCGCGGUAAUACGUAGGUGGCAAGCGUUGUCCGGAAUUAUUGGGCGUAAAGGGCUCGCAGGCGGUUUCUUAAGUCUGAUGUGAAAGCCCCCGGCUCAACCGGGGAGGGUCAUUGGAAACUGGGGAACUUGAGUGCAGAAGAGGAGAGUGGAAUUCCACGUGUAGCGGUGAAAUGCGUAGAGAUGUGGAGGAACACCAGUGGCGAAGGCGACUCUCUGGUCUGUAACUGACGCUGAGGAGCGAAAGCGUGGGGAGCGAACAGGAUUAGAUACCCUGGUAGUCCACGCCGUAAACGAUGAGUGCUAAGUGUUAGGGGGUUUCCGCCCCUUAGUGCUGCAGCUAACGCAUUAAGCACUCCGCCUGGGGAGUACGGUCGCAAGACUGAAACUCAAAGGAAUUGACGGGGGCCCGCACAAGCGGUGGAGCAUGUGGUUUAAUUCGAAGCAACGCGAAGAACCUUACCAGGUCUUGACAUCCUCUGACAAUCCUAGAGAUAGGACGUCCCCUUCGGGGGCAGAGUGACAGGUGGUGCAUGGUUGUCGUCAGCUCGUGUCGUGAGAUGUUGGGUUAAGUCCCGCAACGAGCGCAACCCUUGAUCUUAGUUGCCAGCAUUCAGUUGGGCACUCUAAGGUGACUGCCGGUGACAAACCGGAGGAAGGUGGGGAUGACGUCAAAUCAUCAUGCCCCUUAUGACCUGGGCUACACACGUGCUACAAUGGACAGAACAAAGGGCAGCGAAACCGCGAGGUUAAGCCAAUCCCACAAAUCUGUUCUCAGUUCGGAUCGCAGUCUGCAACUCGACUGCGUGAAGCUGGAAUCGCUAGUAAUCGCGGAUCAGCAUGC
RNAcentral lists this ribosomal RNA (1313 nucleotides) under Bacillus sp. (in: firmicutes). Its description in RNAcentral is "bacterial SSU rRNA". It matches the Rfam family "Bacterial small subunit ribosomal RNA", at positions 57 to 1357 of the family's 1533-position model. The record is from RNAcentral. Lineage: Bacteria; Bacillati; Bacillota; Bacilli; Caryophanales; Bacillaceae.